CGAACCCUAGAAAAGAUGAAAAGGAGCCUAAGCAUCCAAGAGAUCCUCUCUAGAGAGUAAAAUUAGGUCUGCCGCCCCCUUCUAUCAAAAGAAUGCAUCUAAACCUACAAUAGGGCUAUUUAUAAGUGAGGAGCGCAGCAGAAAACAGGCCCAAGCCCACUAGACAACCGCUCGGCGCCACACUUGUUCCGCUGAUGAGGGUUGAAAAACAGUAAUUUUCAUGUCAAAUUAGACCAAAUUACGCCCUUUACUACUUGGAAUGAUCUUAGAAUCAAGCAAAACUCAAUAAAUGAGUCUGUAGAGAGUCAACAGUUGUUUUUAGCGAUAAUAUGCUUGUUUUGCAUUGUUUUGUAGUAUUUUGGAGAAAGGGGAGAAUGAAGUUGAAGAUAAAGGCCGAAGACUCAAGAAAAGAGAAGAAAAUUGAAGAUUUGAUGAGUCGACGCACUAGCGUUGGCGUUGGGCGGUUUUGAGGAAAACCGUCGGACGGUAGACCCUACCGUUGGGCGGUAGUGCGAUUUGUGGGAAACCGUCGGGCGCCACACUUGUUCCGUCGGGCGGUGGUCUGCUGGGCUUGGGCCUGUUUUCUGUUGUGCUUCUCCCCC
RNAcentral lists this long non-coding RNA (602 nucleotides) under Vigna radiata. Its description in RNAcentral is "long non-coding RNA (VRAD_LNC014532)". The record is from RNAcentral. Lineage: Eukaryota; Viridiplantae; Streptophyta; Magnoliopsida; Fabales; Fabaceae.